CUGUGGAGUGUACAAGAACUUGUUAGUAGUGAGUUAUUUAUAACCACCAAAGCAUACACGAUGAAACAGUAA
Molecule: small RNA, 72 nt
Filed under: uncultured Emergencia sp.
Lineage: Bacteria; Bacillati; Bacillota; Clostridia; Peptostreptococcales; Anaerovoracaceae
Description: RAGATH-18 RNA
Rfam family: RAGATH-18 RNA
About the family: Actinobacteria, Firmicutes, Fusobacteria, Thermotogae (1 example). Nearby to self-cleaving ribozyme genes
Source: RNAcentral